Molecule: ribosomal RNA, 497 nt
Filed under: uncultured bacterium
Lineage: Bacteria
Description: partial 16S ribosomal RNA
Rfam family: Bacterial small subunit ribosomal RNA
Source: RNAcentral
GAUGAACGCUGGCGGCGUGCCUAAUACAUGCAAGUCGAGCGAACAGACGAGGAGCUUGCUCCUCUGACGUUAGCGGCGGACGGGUGAGUAACACGUGGAUAACCUACCUAUAAGACUGGGAUAACUUCGGGAAACCGGAGCUAAUACCGGAUAAUAUAUUGAACCGCAUGGUUCAAUAGUGAAAGACGGUUUUGCUGUCACUUAUAGAUGUAUCCGCGCCGCAUUAGCUAGUUGGUAAGGUAACGGCUUACCAAGGCAACGAUGCGUAGCCGACCUGAGAGGGUGAUCGACCACACUGGAACUGAGACACGGUCCAGACUCCUACGGGAGGCAGCAGUAGGGAAUCUUCCGCAAUGGGCGAAAGCUUGACGGAGCAACGCCGCGUGAGUGAUGAAGGUCUUCGGAUCGUAAAACUCUGUUAUUAGGGAAGAACAAAUGUGUAAGUAACUAUGCACGUCUUGACGGUACCUAAUCAGAAAGCCACGGCUAACUACGUG